RNAcentral lists this long non-coding RNA (376 nucleotides) under Ananas comosus (pineapple). Its description in RNAcentral is "long non-coding RNA (ACOM_LNC043463)". The record is from RNAcentral. Lineage: Eukaryota; Viridiplantae; Streptophyta; Magnoliopsida; Poales; Bromeliaceae.
AAUGCUCGACCAACAGGUUCAAAGGAGGCAACUGCAGGUUAGUUUAAUAAACAGAUAGAUAUAUAUAUCUUGAUUAUGCAACGAAUAAAACCAUGCAUUGCCUCACAAACGUAAUAAUGCAAUGCGAUAUGCAAAUCAUGCAAUAAUGCAACCAACUAGUAGUUCACUCGAUACUACUUUCCAUUCUGCUAACCAUAGCUCAUCCGUUUGAUAUCUAAGGUUUCCUCUAUCUUAGAUUCUUGUCAAUCACCGUUUUAAUCAUAAAGUUUCAUCUACCUUUACAAGGCUAACCACACGACUUGGUCUUGAGUCAAUCGUCUGCGGAGUACCGCACUAGAACCAGGCUUGAGGCGAUGGACGUCUCACAUACACCUCA